RNAcentral lists this ribosomal RNA (498 nucleotides) under uncultured bacterium. Its description in RNAcentral is "partial 16S ribosomal RNA". It matches the Rfam family "Bacterial small subunit ribosomal RNA", at positions 30 to 523 of the family's 1533-position model. The record is from RNAcentral.
AUUGAACGCUGGCGGCAUGCCUUACACAUGCAAGUCGAACGGUAACAGGUCUUCGGAUGCUGACGAGUGGCGAACGGGUGAGUAAUACAUCGGAACGUGCCUAGUAGUGGGGGAUAACUACUCGAAAGAGUGGCUAAUACCGCAUGAGAUCUACGGAUGAAAGCAGGGGAUCGCAAGACCUUGUGCUACUAGAGCGGCCGAUGGCAGAUUAGGUAGUUGGUGGGAUAAAAGCUUACCAAGCCGACGAUCUGUAGCUGGUCUGAGAGGACGAUCAGCGACACUGGGACGGAGACACGGCCCAGACUCCUACGGGAGGCAGCAGUGGGGAAUUUUGGACAAUGGGCGAAAGCCUGAUCCAGCAAGGCCGCGUGCAGGAUGAAGGCCUUCGGGUUGUAAACUGCUUUUGUACGGAACGAAAAGCCCCGGGUUAAUACCCUGGGGUCAUGACGGUACCGUAAGAAUAAGCACCGGCUAACUACGUGCCAGCAGCCGCCGUAA